CUCGUAGGCGGUUCGUCGCGUCCGGUGUGAAAGUCCAUCGCUUAACGGUGGAUCUGCGCCGGGUACGGGCGGGCUGGAGUGCGGUAGGGGAGACUGGAAUUCCCGGUGUAACGGUGGAAUGUGUAGAUAUCGGGAAGAACACCAACGGCGAAGGCAGGUCUCUGGGCCGUUACUGACGCUGAGGAGCGAAAGCGUGGGGAGCGAACA
RNAcentral lists this ribosomal RNA (207 nucleotides) under uncultured bacterium. RNAcentral describes it as "partial 16S ribosomal RNA". It matches the Rfam family "Bacterial small subunit ribosomal RNA", at positions 568 to 774 of the family's 1533-position model. The record is from RNAcentral.